UGGCCAGAGGUCCUCGCUUGGACGUGAACAGCUGAGUGUAGAACAACAUGUCGGCAGGUGGGACGUCACCUGUCACAGGACAAACAACACAGACAGAGACAGCUGGCUCGACAAGUUAUGUUAAUUGUACAGGUUUGUCUGUGAGAAGAGAAGAGAAGAGAAGAGAAGAGAAGAGAAGAGAAGAGAAGAGAAGAGAAGAUCUGCUGAGGAACAGAUUAUCUUCAGAGGCCCGGCAGCCGCCUGCAGCUGCAGCUUCACGUCACCAUGAUUUCACUCAGUUUGCUCUCAGACGCUCAGCGAAUAAACAAACACAGAGAAGAAGAAGCUGCUUCUCCACAGGACGUCACAAUCCACCAAUGAAGCAUCUUAUUAAUACAUUUGAUGACUGUCUACAUUGUUGCACCAGGUUUUCAACCUGAACACAGAUGUGUCAGUUUAUCUGGACGAUUAAUUGGACGGAUUCAUAUUUUUUAAAAUGUAAUUAAGAGCAUGUGAGCAGCUUGUUUCCCUUCCUCAUACUGAUACUGUGUCAUUUGAAACGAUAACAACAUAUGAAACAUGUUCUAACAGCUGUUUGCUACUGUACUCUGUAUGAAGUGAUGAUCACUGUCACUGUUGUUAAACCCUCUGACAAACAGAAACACUCAGAGAAUUAAAGUCACAGAACUUCUGUUAUGAUCUA
Scophthalmus maximus (turbot) is the source of this 682-nucleotide long non-coding RNA. RefSeq lists it as uncharacterized. The record is from RefSeq and is a predicted model, not a curated record. NCBI's taxonomy places the organism in Eukaryota, Metazoa, Chordata, Actinopteri, Pleuronectiformes, Scophthalmidae. The transcript is spliced from 3 exons.